RNAcentral lists this unclassified non-coding RNA (3119 nucleotides) under Diabrotica virgifera virgifera (western corn rootworm). Its description in RNAcentral is "uncharacterized LOC114337611". Lineage: Eukaryota; Metazoa; Arthropoda; Insecta; Coleoptera; Chrysomelidae. The record is from RNAcentral.
UCUACCGGAAACGAAAUCAGCCGGAACAACUUCAUCCUACUUCGAAACGCCAAAGGCACCGACAGCGGUCACAUUCUUCUUCGAACUGAUGCACUGACCCACACGAAAAAUAACAUUAUCCUAGAGGACUCGGAAAGUGGAAAGAUCGGGCAAAUACUAAUUCAGCAGAGCGAAAUCAAGAAGGGGGUACUAGUUCAGUCGGUAAAACGGUUAAGCUCUCCAAUAUUUUUGUUGAGCGGUGGCGACAGCGGUAACGGCCAUAUUCUUAUACAAACUGCAGCACCUACUGAAGAAGCUAGACAUCAGCCCACGGUCGAAAUAGAAGAUGGCAGCGACAACAUUUUGGUACAAGCGUUGGAGGGAAUACAAGACAGCGAUUCACCCAGCAGUAGAGGACUCUCGACACCGAUUGGUUCAGAAACUCACAUUAAUCACAUGGUCGGUUGUAGUCCCUAUAAUCUGUGGAGCACAAAGCCCAAACUCGAUUACAGAAGAAUGCAAGGAAACCCUUUAUACAUCUAAGCCAACUGUCUACGAAAAAUAUUUAGAUAUGCCUAAGAUAAAAUGGCGUUGUCAGAAUAGUUGCGGUCCCUCUAUUGGUGAAGUAUUUCUGAGAUAUUUUGGAUUGACAUCUUUACACUUCAAUGAUGAAGACAUUCAAAUGGCCUUAUUGCCUCUGAUGUACAAAACCUCUGCCUACCGUCUUCGACUACGUAUCGUGGAUAUUGUUAACAAAAUUAUUAAAGACAGAAACUUGACCAAUGGCAAACUAUAUUCGGAGGCUUAUGUAGAAAACAGGCGGCAAAUUCCAGGCCGUUUAGCUACGAUUUACAGAGAGAUGUAUUAUUUAAUAAGUCGAAGCCUUGAACAUGAUAUGCCGGUGGCUCUAUCCAUAGACAACGGUUUUAAUUGCAUGGUGGUACAAGGAUUUCAAUAUGGCGGAUCCUUUGAUACAGUAAACUACACUUACGUGGAUCCCCGAACAGGGAAUUCAAAAACAGAGUCAGUUGAGAAGUUAAUGGGUCAAACUGCAAAAACUAUAGGCGACAUUUACCUAAUGGUCUACAAUCCCCCAUUGACUGAUGAUGAAACUGACUUUACAGCUUGUUCUGAACUGUUAAAUAUAUCUAAUUCUAUAAUAACAAUGGAACCAUUCGCGCAUCUGAAUCAUAGUAAACCUAACGGUAUUUGUCCCCCAGGUUUAAACUAUCAUCACGUAAUAACACAAGGCGAGGAUUUUUUUGUCCUUAAUCACACUGACUUUAAUCCAGAUGAAAUCAAAGUUGGACUUUCCUUAAAAACUGCGUUAGGUAUCGAAAAAAUAUACUUCGAAGUCAGCGACACCGAGUUCAAGAAGUAUUUAAGAACACUGUUCAAAACAGUCCGACAAACCACUGGCACCGGUCUGUUUGGGUCUAUUCAAAAACAAGACCACGAUGUUAUGGUGGAUUACAUGUUUGAACACUACGCAUAUUUUCAUUUUGCGAUCAGACGUUUGGCAAAAGAUAAAAGAUUAAAUUUGCUUGAAGUUGCAACGAACCGAAACAGAGUUUUUGAUCCAGCCAAAAUAAAAGCCAUAUACAAAUGUUGAGAUUAUUCUAUACAUAUAAGUUAAAAUUAAGAUACGAAAAAAUGAUAAGUUUGGUAUAAAAGCUAAUAUGGUCCUUUUCAGAGGCAUUUUUCAGUGCGUCACAAGUGAGAGAAAAAAAAGAGUUAUACAUACUUCUUCUGCCGCGAUUGGGAAAAAUGUUGAGAGUGAAUUUUUAUACAAACGACAGUAAAGUACGCGCACACCGACAAGAUACCUAAAAACGACAAUCUGAAGUUAGUUGAUAAAUCUUUCAAGUUACGUAUGUAUCAUUGAAAAUCGAGUGUGAAAAAAAUAUAUUGUUAUUUUUAGUAAAUAUAUUUAUUAUAAUUUUUGUGUUUUUGGAUUUGUCUUCGUCGGAAAUAGAGUAUUUUCUAUCUGACAACGCAUUCAUUCAACUCAACAAAAAUUCAAUGAACAAAAUGAUAAAUGAACUAAAAACUAACAUCUCAAAUGCUACAAAUUUAUUUCAAGAAUCUAGAAUCAACCCAAAAACUUUGAGUUCUAGCAAUCCUUCAUUGCCACGACUCUACGGUCUUCCCAAAAUCCAUAAGGUCAAUGUUCCAAUAAGACAUGUAGUCAGUUUUGUCAAUACUCCACUAGCUCCAUUAGCCAAAUUUACCCUUCUCCAAAAACACCCUUCUCCAGCAUCUUCUUAAUUAUACUCCGAAAUAAACUAUCAAAAACACUCUUGAUUUAAUAUCCAAACUUUCUUCAACUAACCUUACAAACAAUUUUACUAUGUCACAAUAAAACACUGAAAAACGUUUGUUUUUCUAUACUUCCACAAAAUUUAUUACAACUAUGUUAUUACUAGAGCGGUUUCGGCAAAGUACCUUUCUCAAGGGUCGAAACAGCUCUAGUAAUAACAUAGUUGUAAUAAAUUUUGUGGAAGUAUAGAAAAACAAACGUUUUUCAGUGUUUUAUUGUGAGAUAAAAUGAACUACCAUCAAGUAACGGUCGAAUCCAUCAAUUUUACUAUGGUCUCUUUUGACGUAACUAAUCUUUUCACUAAUGUUCCUAGACUAGAAACCAUUCCAAUUGUCAACAAUCUUCUAAGUUCAAAGAACAUAGACCCUAACAAAUGUUCUCAAAUCACCUCACUACUUCAAUUUUGCCUUUCUCAAGAUUUCUUCAUCUUCAACAACAAAAUUUACAGACAACCAGAGGGUCUAGCAAUGGGAAAUCCUUUAUCUCCACUACUUGCAGAUCUUUUUCUAGAUUCUCUUGAAAAUACUUUUGUCCAUUCACAUUCACACAUAAUUCUAUGGUACAGAUAUGUGGAUGAUAUUUUAGCAUUUAUAGAAGGUCCUCCUUCAACCUAACAACAUUCUUUCAAUAAUUAAUAACCUACAUCCAGCAAUUAAAUUCAGAUUAGAGCUAGAAACCAACAACAUGAUCAAUUUUCUAGACCUAACCAUCAAAAAGAAUAUUCAUCUUCCGUUUCUUUAUCUUCUACUACUCUAGAAUACUCAGUAUUUAGAAAACCUACUCAAACUGACCAUAUUAAUACCCAUAUCAUCUAACCAUC